AUGAAUCUUUUAGCCUGGAACUGUCGAGAAUUGGGGUUGGACUCGACGGUAGGCGAACUUAGAGACCUGAUACGGUCCUACAACCCAGCGGUGGUGUUUUUAUGUGAAACAAAAAAGAAGGAUAGUGCAAUGGAGAGGCUCAAGUGGAGACUAGGGUUUCGGAGUGGGGUUUCUGUUGAUUGUCAGGGUUUAAGUGGUGGACUUGCACUGUGGUGGAGGGAGAAUAUU
Molecule: ribosomal RNA, 228 nt
Filed under: Triticum aestivum (bread wheat)
Lineage: Eukaryota; Viridiplantae; Streptophyta; Magnoliopsida; Poales; Poaceae
Description: partial small subunit ribosomal RNA
Source: RNAcentral